Molecule: ribosomal RNA, 497 nt
Filed under: uncultured bacterium
Lineage: Bacteria
Description: partial 16S ribosomal RNA
Rfam family: Bacterial small subunit ribosomal RNA
Source: RNAcentral
GAUGAACGCUGGCGGCGUGCCUAAUACAUGCAAGUCGAGCGAACGGACGAGAAGCUUGCUUCUCUGAUGUUAGCGGCGGACGGGUGAGUAACACGUGGAUAACCUACCUAUAAGACUGGGAUAACUUCGGGAAACCGGAGCUAAUACCGGAUAAUAUUUUGAACCGCAUGGUUCAAAAGUGAAAGACGGUCUUGCUGUCACUUAUAGAUGGAUCCGCGCUGCAUUAGCUAGUUGGUAAGGUAACGGCUUACCAAGGCAACGAUGCAUAGCCGACCUGAGAGGGUGAUCGGCCACACUGGAACUGAGCCACGGUCCAGACUCCUACGGGAGGCAGCAGUAGGGAAUCUUCCGCAAUGGGCGAAAGCCUGACGGAGCAACGCCGCGUGAGUGAUGAAGGUCUUCGGAUCGUAAAACUCUGUUAUUAGGGAAGAACAUAUGUGUAAGUAACUGUGCACAUCUUGACGGUACCUACUCAGAAAGCCACGGCUAACUACGUG